UCAAAAGUUGAUUGGUCUCGUUUUGUUUUGUUUUUUUUCUCAUUCUCUUUGCUUGUUUCUCUCUAUCUCUUUGGACGAAACCAGGAAAGCAUGAAUGAUUUUUCAAAAUCGAGUAGAACAACCCAAUCAAUUUUUCUUUUGAUGAGUCUCUUUUUUUUUUACUCUCACAAAAUUUGAUUCUUUUAUUCUCAGAUUUUGAUUUUCCCAUUACAAGAUCCGACCUUUUUUGUUUCUUUUGUUCUGAUUCAAUUGAAACAAAUCUGAUUUUGUUGAGGUUGUUGUGUUCAUAGGUACGUGAAGAGAAUCUAUGGUUAUCUUAUGACCGUGAAGAUCAAAGGGCUUUACCAACGCGUAUGGAUUCCACAUAUGCUAGUGAUUCGGUUAUGAUGAGAUUGGAUUCCAAUUUCAAGAUGGUACCAGCGAGCCAGAUUUAUCACUAACAAAAUUGUUGGAGGAGGUGUUUAAUAACCAGAGCUAGAGCUAUAAAAUCACUUGCAGUGGGAGAAUUGGAGGCUAGGAAUCUCAAGUAUUGAAGCACUGGGACUGAAGCCAUUCUCAUGGGUAUCUUAGUCGAAGAGAACGGUGGUAAGAGGGAUCGUGGGGAGAAGUAGUGGCAUAGGAGCAGCAGAGAUACGAAGAGCAACCGUUUUUGCAUACCAGGAUACAGAGAAUUGAUCUUUGACCGAUCAUUUGUCUUCUUAUGGAAGAGGAUGUGAGCGCUUUGGACGAAGAUAUAUCAACUUUAUCCAUGGAGAUGGACUCAAUGAUAUUGUUAUUACAUGUGCGAUUGAUUCAUGAUCAUGAUUUUUUUUUUUGUGGGUGGUCUUGCACAUAUUGUUAUUUAUUAGUGUCUUCUGCUCUUUUCGUAUCUUUUGCUCUUUUUCAUUUUCAUCUAUGGUGUAAGCUUUAUAGUUCUUACUUUCAUCUUGUUUUUGGACCAAAUUUGGCUCUUUAACAAACGAUUGUGUUAUUUUGUGUGUAUUGGUUUAGUUUAUAUCA
Camelina sativa (false flax) is the source of this 999-nucleotide non-coding RNA. Lineage: Eukaryota; Viridiplantae; Streptophyta; Magnoliopsida; Brassicales; Brassicaceae. The record is from RefSeq and is a predicted model, not a curated record.